AAAAACCAAAAGAGCUGUUUAAGUUUUAAGAUCAGAACGACGUCGUCUUGAUUCCCCCUCUUCUUCACUGUUUGCACUUGAGAUCAGAAAUCGGCGAUUGCAUCGACGGUACGGUGUUCCUCUCUUUCUAUUUCCACUCCCCGUCUUCUACCAGCUCGUUUCCUUCCUCGCUCUUUCCCUCCCUCUCAUUACGACGUUUUGGGGACAAAGCGGUAUAACUCUGUUGAAGAAGUGAAAGAAGCAUACGGGAAGCUGUCUUCUAAGCGGCAUGGAAAUCCCUACUACUAAUGGUUUUACAAAGAUCUAAUAUGCUUAUGAGCUGAUGAUGAAUCCUUUAUGGAAAAGGGACUAUGACAUAUUUGGCAUUGAUGAGCAAUCUCAUAUUAUCGACAAGAUUAACUUGCAAUACACUGGGGAAAGCUUUUCAGGCAUUGAUCUUCCAUUACUAGAUGCUACUACUUUUGGGUAGAACAAAAAGCAAAGGAGGAUGCCCAUUGUGGGAUGGAGGAAACAGUACUUAGAUUGCUUGUAGCUCCUAAGUUGCAAAUAAUUGGCUUUCUGGUGAUGGUUGAAAACUUGAACCUUGGGUUCAUUCCUUCACCAUGCUAUAGACAUUACAAUCUGUGUCAAUGGUAUGAUAGUUUCCCUUUCUCCUCUCCUUUUUCCGAGUGGCAAAGUAGAAUUGCUCAAUAAAGAAUCAGCUGAACAUUUAAUUGCAUUAAAUUAAAUAUUUGAUGCAAGAAGUUUUUAUUCUUGCAUAUCUGAACUCGCUUGAUCCUUCCUGCCAAUACACCUUUAUUAUUUGCAUUUAUGAGAGCAUUUUAUUUUGGCAUUAUCUUAUUCUUGAUUUGAUGUGUGCCUCUCAAAUUGCUUGAUUUUAUUAACUUUAGCUUCAGCAUAGCAUGUUUCUUGCUUUUAACCUGA
This is a long non-coding RNA of Populus nigra (black poplar), 924 nucleotides long. RefSeq lists it as uncharacterized. The transcript is spliced from 5 exons. Lineage: Eukaryota; Viridiplantae; Streptophyta; Magnoliopsida; Malpighiales; Salicaceae. The record is from RefSeq and is a predicted model, not a curated record.